AAGGAAGCUGAGUAGAAAUAGAACCAAACCAAGGGAAGAGAGGAAAGAUUGGAGGAAGGGAGAAAGGCAGCCAGUUCCUUCCUCUUCCGUGCGCAAAGUCGCACAAAGAGCAGCCUGUUUCUUUCUCCACCAUGCGCAGAGCCGCGCAACACAGUUCCUUCUUCCACCGCGUACAGAGACGCAAAGAAGCUCUCGGUUUCCUUCUUCUUCAGCUGCACGCAGAGCCAAGCAACCAAUUCUGGUUCCUUCUUCCUCCGUGCGUAGAGACGUGCGAAGAUAUGGUUGUCCCAACUUCUUCUUCCGCUGUGCGAAGAGCUGCACGAUCCAGUUUCACUUCUGCUGCGCGCAGAGUCGCACGCGGAAGCUUUUCUGGCUGUGAUCUGCUUCUUUUUCUGGCCACCCUGUACUGCAAUCUGCCCAAGCCGAGGAAGUCAUUGAGCCUAGCGGAUUUCAGCCUGAGCUGAGCCACUGCACCAGGCCGAGCCAAUUUUUAGCCGAGCCGCUUUUGAGCCGAGCCAUUUUCGAGCUUGUAAGGAACGGGCACCUACUGCUUGUAGGCAUGUAUCUCAAGAAGUUGGUUUCUUAAGAUUGUCACCAUCUUUGGAACCAAUGAGAGGUAACAGAUGUUGGCCACCUGUAGAUGCCACCUCCUUUGGAGGUACCAUCAAAAUCCAGUACUUAAAAUGACAAAUAAAAUAUAAGCUUCUACAUCAUCCUACCAGUAGUAAAGGUGACGUCACCUCGUUCGACCAGCCGGAGUCAAGAUACCACCUCAUAAAAAGAAAGGAACAGUCUCAACAAAUUACAAAUGACAUUCAACUUAUAUUGUCGAGCCUAUCAGUAAAUGUAAAUUCUUUUGGUGCAUGGGAUGGUCCUCCAUCACAAUCUUAACGCUGAAUCUAGAAACAAGAAUGGAUAGGAAAGGUGAAAGAAA
Molecule: non-coding RNA, 934 nt
Organism: Carica papaya (papaya)
Lineage: Eukaryota; Viridiplantae; Streptophyta; Magnoliopsida; Brassicales; Caricaceae
Source: RefSeq, a predicted model, not a curated record